Molecule: ribosomal RNA, 252 nt
Filed under: uncultured bacterium
Lineage: Bacteria
Description: partial 16S ribosomal RNA
Rfam family: Bacterial small subunit ribosomal RNA
Source: RNAcentral
UACAGAGGGUGCAAGCGUUGCUCGGAAUCACUGGGCGUAAAGCGCACGUAGGCGGAUUGCUAAGUCAGGGGUGAAAUCCUGGAGCUCAACUCCAGAACUGCCUUUGAUACUGCGAUCUUGAGUCCGGGAGAGGUGAGUGGAACUGCGAGUGUAGAGGUGAAAUUCGUAGAUAUUCGCAAGAACACCAGUGGCGAAGGCGGCUCACUGGCCCGGUACUGACGCUGAGGUGCGAAAGCGUGGGGAGCAAACAGG